This 497-nucleotide ribosomal RNA is filed under the name uncultured bacterium. RNAcentral's name for it is "partial 16S ribosomal RNA". It matches the Rfam family "Bacterial small subunit ribosomal RNA", at positions 28 to 507 of the family's 1533-position model. The record is from RNAcentral.
GACGGACGCUGGCGGCGUGCCUAAUACAUGCAAGUUGAGCGCUGAAGGUUGGUACUUGUACCAACUGGAUGAGCAGCGAACGGGUGAGUAACGCGUGGGGAAUCUGCCUUUGAGCGGGGGACAACAUUUGGAAACGAAUGCUAAUACCGCAUAAAAACUUUAAACACAAGUUUUAAGUUUGAAAGAUGCAAUUGCAUCACUCAAAGAUGAUCCCGCGUUGUAUUAGCUAGUUGGUGAGGUAAAGGCUCACCAAGGCGAUGAUACAUAGCCGACCUGAGAGGGUGAUCGGCCACAUUGGGACUGAGACACGGCCCAAACUCCUACGGGAGGCAGCAGUAGGGAAUCUUCGGGAAUGGACGAAAGUCUGACCGAGCAACGCCGCGUGAGUGAAGAAGGUUUUCGGAUCGUAAAACUCUGUUGGUAGAGAAGAACGUUGGUGAGAGUGGAAAGCUCAUCAAGUGACGGUAACUACCCAGAAAGGGACGGCUAACUACGUG